CCUUACAAAGUAAGGAGUGGUAGAGGAGCAUCCUGCAAGGACGAAGCCAAAGUGAGAGCGAUGGUGGACGAAACAGGAGAGAGAAUGCCGGAAUGAGUAGCGAGAUACAUGUGAGAAACAUGUAGGCCGAAUAUCUAAGGAUUCCUGGGUAAAGCUAAUCUUCCCAGGGUUAGUCGGGGCCUAAGGCGAGGACGAAAGUCGUAGUCGAUGGAUAACAGGUUGAUAUUCCUGUACUACACAUAAUCAGAACUGUGGGGACGCAGGAGGAUAGGGAAACCGGGGAAUGGAAAGACCCGGUCAAGCGUAAAGCUGUGGGAGAUAGGCAAAUCCGUCCUGUAAGUGAAGACGUGAUGAGGACUGAAAAAAAGUAAGGAAGUUUCCGAAUCCACACUGCCGAGAAAAGCCGCUAUUGCGUUAUGUGUACCCGUACCGUAAACCGACACAGGUAGAUGAGGAGAAAAUCCACAGGCCGACGGGAGAAGUGUUGUUAAGGAACUCGGCAAAAUGACCCCGUAACUUCGGGAUAAGGGGAGCCUCGCAAGAGGCCGCAGAAAAGAGGCACAAGCAACUGUUUAGCAAAAACAUAGGUCUAUGCGAAACCGUAAGGUGAAGUAUAUGGGCUGACGCCUGCCCGGUGCUGGAAGGUUAAAAGGAGAGGUCAGCGCAAGCGAAGCUUUGAAUUCAAGCCCCAGUAAACGGCGGCCGUAACUAUAACGGUCCUAAGGUAGCGAAAUUCCUUGUCAGGUAAGUUCUGACCCGCACGAAAGGCGUAAUGAUUUGUGCACUGUCUCGACAACACGCCCGGUGAAAUUGAAGAACCAGUGAAGAUACUGGUUACCCGCAACAGGACGGAAAGACCCCAUGGAGCUUUACUGCAGCCUGAUACUGGGAUUCGAUGAUAUAUGUACAGGAUAGGUGGGAGGCUAAGAAGCGAGAACGCUAGUUUUCGUGGAGCCGCCGGUGGGAUACCACUCUUAUGUCAUUGAAUUUCUAACCUGCAUCCGUAAUCCGGGUGAGGGACAAUGUCAGGCGGGCAGUUUGACUGGGGCGGUCGCCUCCUAAAAGGUAACGGAGGCGCUCGAAGGUCACCUCAGAAUGAUUGGAAACCAUUCAAAGAGUGUAAAGGCAAAAGGUGGCUUGACUGCGAGAGCGACGGCUCGAGCAGGUACGAAAGUAGGACUUAGUGAUCCGG
RNAcentral lists this ribosomal RNA (1192 nucleotides) under human gut metagenome. RNAcentral describes it as "bacterial LSU rRNA". It matches the Rfam family "Bacterial large subunit ribosomal RNA", at positions 1209 to 2423 of the family's 2925-position model. The record is from RNAcentral.